This is an RNA transcript of Liolophura sinensis, 1590 nucleotides long. It is a transcript of the gene named RNA-binding protein lark-like, with no coding region annotated. NCBI's taxonomy places the organism in Eukaryota, Metazoa, Mollusca, Polyplacophora, Chitonida, Chitonidae. The transcript has 10 exons. The record is from RefSeq and is a predicted model, not a curated record.
AAUGAGUUGACAUCAUUGUAAACAGACACACGCCAUUUUGGGAGAUUGGAAGUGGACAUAGAGACGUGCGGAAAGGGUUGCCCAAGUCCAAAGUACCAUGACAACCAAGCUGUAUGUUGGUAAUCUGCCAGAGACGUGUCGCAGAGUUGAUCUUCAAAAGAUUUUUGAGAAGUAUGGGCAGGUUGUGGAAUGUGACAUUGUGAAGAACUAUGGCUUUGUGCAUUACUGUGAUGUGCAAGAGGCAAAGAGAGCCGCUGAGGAAUUGGAUGGAGUUGAUUUGAGGGAGUCAAACUCAGUGUGGAGCUAUCUCGCAGUAAGGUGAGGCAGAAGCCCGGAAUGGGUGGUAAAGGAGAAUGUUAUCGUUGUGGAAAGCCAGGACAUUGGUCCAGAGAUUGUCCGAAAGGCCCUUCUCGGCCAAGACGAGAGAGGGAGAUGGAGGAUACGAGGAGACCAGCUCGUCCAGCCCCUUACCCAGAUCCUUACAGGGACCCCUACCGGGAGGCCUACUACAGGGACAGAUAUGCUGCCCUGGACCGCUACAGGCCCUAUGCUGACCCUUAUGAAAGGCGACUGCCCCCUCCCCCACCCAGAGACCUGUACUACAGAGAGCGGGAUCCAUAUGCCAGACCUCCUCCAGAAUACUAUGGCAGAACGAGGCGCUCACCCACCAGGGAUCCGUACUAUGACUCAUACUACGACAGAAGACUGGGCUCCUGAUUUUGGUUACGCAACCAUGCCCUUGGUUAAUCCUGUGCUGCAGUGCCAUGUUGUAUCUCCAUGAUCAGUAUGCUGGUUAUCUUCCAACAUAAAGGAUUGCUUUGGUGGCAUUUAAUCUGGAUUUUGUUCCCACAUUGAUCUCUACACAAGUCCAUUGGUGGUAAGACAACCUGGUCAGGUGGAAGGAAUGCUCUCAGAUUCAGUACAUUCGGACGUUCAACUAAGUCUUGUACAGUCAAUAGGCGGAGUGUAUUGUUAUAGUAAUGUUGUCUGUCCAUCCAUAUUCGUGUCAGGGCUAUAACUCCAAUAGUUUUCCACAGAGUUAAUUUGUGAUGGAUACAUAGACGAAGAUGUCGCGAAUCACAUUUGUUCAUUUUCACUGUUGUCAUGGUAACCAGAUAGCCAUUUUCCUGCUAUAUACUAUAUAAAUUGAUAUGAUUUUAGUGUCCGCGCUGCAACUCCAACUGUUUUUCUCUUAGUGUUUUAAUUUUUGGUGGAUACUUGGAUACACAGGACGAUGUGUCACGACUUACAUUUGUCCAUUUUCACGUUUGUCAUGGUAACCAGGUAGCUGUUUUCAUUAUAUAUACUAUAUAAAUAAUUUUGUGUCCGGGCUACAACUCCAGCUGUGUUUCGCACAAGGUUUUCGUUUGUGGUGGAUGCAUUUGUUCACAUGCGCAGUUGUCAAAAUAACCACUUACCUAUCAACACCCAUGGAAAUUCCCCUCAGUUAUGCACACUACAAUGCUGCUGGUAUUCUUUCAUACAUUUCAAACAAAUGCAUUUGUUGGGGCUUAUGUUGUGUUCACCUGAACUUUUGUUUUGUAAUGCAUUAUAGAAAAUACAAUAACUAGAGGUGAUAUUUGGUUAUUC